This 496-nucleotide ribosomal RNA is filed under the name uncultured bacterium. RNAcentral describes it as "partial 16S ribosomal RNA". It matches the Rfam family "Bacterial small subunit ribosomal RNA", at positions 28 to 506 of the family's 1533-position model. The record is from RNAcentral.
GACGAACGCUGGCGGCGUGCCUAAUACAUGCAAGUUGAGCGCUGAAGGUUGGUACUUGUACCAACUGGAUGAGCAGCGAACGGGUGAGUAACGCGUGGGGAAUCUGCCUUUGAGCGGGGGACAACAUUUGGAAACGAAUGCUAAUACCGCAUAAAAACUUUAAACACAAGUUUUAAGUUUGAAAGAUGCAAUUGCAUCACUCAAAGAUGAUCCCGCGUUGUAUUAGCUAGUUGGUGAGGUAAAGGCUCACCAAGGCGAUGAUACAUAGCCGACCUGAGAGGGUGAUCGGCCACAUUGGGACUGAGACACGGCCCAAACUCCUACGGGAGGCAGCAGUAGGGAAUCUUCGGCAAUGGACGAAAGUCUGACCGAGCAACGCCGCGUGAGUGAAGAAGGUUUUCGGAUCGUAAAACUCUGUUGGUAGAGAAGAACGUUGGUGAGAGUGGAAAGCUCAUCAAGGGACGGUAACUACCCAGAAAGGGACGGCUAACUACGG